Molecule: ribosomal RNA, 539 nt
Filed under: uncultured bacterium
Lineage: Bacteria
Description: bacterial SSU rRNA
Rfam family: Bacterial small subunit ribosomal RNA
Source: RNAcentral
AUCUUCGGCAAUGGGCGCAAGCCUGACCGAGCGACGCCGCGUGUGCGAUGAAGGCCCUUCGGGUUGUAAAGCACUGUCGAGAGGAAGCAAGCCGCAAGGUUGAGCGACCUCUGGAGGAAGCACGGGCUAAGUUCGUGCCAGCAGCCGCGGUAAGACGAACCGUGCGAACGUUGUUCGGAAUCACUGGGCUUAAAGGGCGCGUAGGCGGGAUGGCAAGUCGGAGGUGAGAGCCCCCAGCUUAACUGGGGAAGUGCCCUCGAUACUGCCGUUCUCGAGAGAGGUAGGGGCGUGUGGAACUUCCGGUGGAGCGGUGAAAUGCGUAGAUAUCGGAAGGAACGCCGGUGGCGAAAGCGAUGCGCUGGACCUUUUCUGACGCUGAGGCGCGAAAGCCAGGGUAGCGAACGGGAUUAGAUACCCCGGUAGUCCUGGCCCUAAACGAUGGGUACUGGGUUGCGGGUCAGACAUGGACUCGCAGCCGAAGCAAAAGUGGUAAGUACCCCGCCUGGGGAGUAUGGUCGCAAGGCUGAAACUCAAAGGAA